This 392-nucleotide ribosomal RNA is filed under the name uncultured bacterium. Its description in RNAcentral is "bacterial SSU rRNA". It matches the Rfam family "Bacterial small subunit ribosomal RNA", at positions 30 to 426 of the family's 1533-position model. The record is from RNAcentral.
AUUGAACGCUGGCGGCAUGCUUUACACAUGCAAGUCGAACGGUAACAGGUCUUCGGAUGCUGACGAGUGGCGAACGGGUGAGUAAUGUAUCGGAACGUGCCCAGUAGUGGGGGAUAACUACUCGAAAGAGUGGCUAAUACCGCAUGAGAACUGAGGUUGAAAGCGGGGGACCUUCGGGCCUCGCGCUACUGGAGCGGCCGAUAUCAGAUUAGGUAGUUGGUGGGGUAAAGGCCUACCAAGCCGACGAUCUGUAGCUGGUCUGAGAGGACGACCAGCCACACUGGGACUGAGACACGGCCCAGACUCCUACGGGAGGCAGCAGUGGGGAAUUUUGGACAAUGGACGCAAGUCUGAUCCAGCCAUGCCGCGUGAGUGAAGAAGGCCUCGGUUGU